AGAUGGCGACCGGCGCACGGGUGAGUAACACGUAUCCAACCUGCCGAUAACUCGGGGAUAGCCUUUCGAAAGAAAGAUUAAUACCCGAUGGUAUAAUCAGACCGCAUGGUUUGAUUAUUAAAGAAUUUCGGUUAUCGAUGGGGAUGCGUUCCAUUAGGCAGUUGGCGAGGUAACGGCUCACCAAACCUUCGAUGGAUAGGGGUUCUGAGAGGAAGGUCCCCCACAUUGGAACUGAGACACGGUCCAA
RNAcentral lists this ribosomal RNA (247 nucleotides) under uncultured bacterium. RNAcentral's name for it is "partial 16S ribosomal RNA". It matches the Rfam family "Bacterial small subunit ribosomal RNA", at positions 86 to 334 of the family's 1533-position model. The record is from RNAcentral.